This 245-nucleotide ribosomal RNA is filed under the name uncultured bacterium. RNAcentral describes it as "partial small subunit ribosomal RNA". It matches the Rfam family "Bacterial small subunit ribosomal RNA", at positions 26 to 285 of the family's 1533-position model. The record is from RNAcentral.
AGAAUCAACGCUGGCGGCGUGCCUAACACAUGCAAGUCGAACGAGAAAGGGGAGCAAUCCCUGAGUACAGUGGCGACCGGGUGAGUAACACGUGACUAACCUACCCUCGAGUGCGGAAUAACAUCGGGAAACCGAUGCUAAUACCGCAUAACAUCGCAAGAUCAAAGGAGUAAUCCGCUUGAGGAGGGGGUCGCGGCUGAUUAGCUAGUUGGCGGGGUAAUGGCCCACCAAGGCGAAGAUCGGUA